GGUAGUCCACCCCGUAAACGUUGGGAACUAGUUGUGGGGACCAUUCCACGGUUUCCGUGACGCAGCUAACGCAUUAAGUUCCCCGCCUGGGGAGUACGGCCGCAAGGCUAAAACUCAAAGGAAUUGACGGGGACCCGCACAAGCGGCGGAGCAUGCGGAUUAAUUCGAUGCAACGCGAAGAACCUUACCAAGGCUUGACAUACACCAGAACGGGCCAGAAAUGGUCAACUCUUUGGACACUGGUGAACAGGUGGUGCAUGGUUGUCGUCAGCUCGUGUCGUGAGAUGUUGGGUUAAGUCCCGCAACGAGCGCAACCCUCGUUCUAUGUUGCCAGCACGUAAUGGUGGGAACUCAUGGGAUACUGCCGGGGUCAACUCGGAGGAAGGUGGGGAUGACGUCAAAUCAUCAUGCCCCUUAUGUCUUGGGCUUCACGCAUGCUACAAUGGCCGGUACAAAGGGCUGCAAUACCGUGAGGUGGAGCGAAUCCCAAAAAGCCGGUCCCAGUUCGGAUUGAGGUCUGCAACUCGACCUCAUGAAGUCGGAGUCGCUAGUAAUCGCAGAUCAGCAACGCUGCGGUGAAUACGUUCCCGGGUCUUGUACACACCGCCCGUCAAGUCAUGAAAGUCGGUAACACCUGAAGCCGGUGGCCCAACCCUUGUGGAGGGAGCCGUCGAAGGUGGGAUCGGUAAUUAGGACUAAGUCGUAACAAGGUAGCCGUAGGGGAACCUGC
This 730-nucleotide ribosomal RNA is filed under the name uncultured bacterium. Its description in RNAcentral is "bacterial SSU rRNA". It matches the Rfam family "Bacterial small subunit ribosomal RNA", at positions 789 to 1515 of the family's 1533-position model. The record is from RNAcentral.